UGUGUGAGCACACUCAGUCAACUAAAAUGAACUCCAAAACAGCUCCUGGAGGGCUGGGCUGCCCAAACAAUUUUCCUCUAGCUAAAAACUUUGAUUUUUUUUUUCCAGGACAUGGUUUGGAAAAACAAAUUCAUCAUCUAACUUUCCUCUGUGUGUCAUGUCUUCGAGGUUCACAGGACAGGGAAGGUGUUCCUGCUGGAAGAGGUGGAACAGCUUUAACCUGUGAUUUUCCUGUGGUCGUAGGUGUCUCUGCAGAUUACCAGCAGCAGGGAAUUAUCUCCCCCUUCCUGAGCAGCCUUGGGGUCCAUAGGGGAUCUCUGAUGGACAUGAUGGGAGCUCGGUCAGCCCUUCCACAUUAAUGGCUCUGCACCCAGGUCUCCGUGUGCCAGACCCUCUGCAUUUCAGGGCCAAUGGCCAAGUUAUAAUUUUUUUAUGGUCCCAGGAGGUGAAGAAAGGGAUGGGAGGACUUCCAAUCCCAGAGCAACUGUGUUGGUGGAGCCAGUGGACUGAGCAAUGCCCCUUGGAGUUUCUUGGCAUCUCUGACCCGCUGCUGGGCUGGAGGAUGGUCCUUCAGGACUUUUCCAGCCCGAAUGGCUCUGUGGUUCCAUGGCUGUGAUUUCCAGCUCCCCAGAGCUGUUUGCAGGCACAGCCCAGCCCCAGCCCCUACCCCAAGGUGCUGCAGGGAACCAGGGCCAGGAGGAGGCUGGGGAAACCGAGAGGAAAUGCUGCAUCCAAGGCCAUGAAACAUCCAGGAGCUCCACAGUGAGGGGCUGCAGGGCAUCUCCAGACCGGGGCAAUGCCAAGCUUCAGGCAUACACGGCAAGCAGGAGCAGCCAGGGAAAGAGGAGCUCUGAGGGAAUGCUGAGAGAACACAGCAGAGUGCAGAAUGGUUUUAAAAAAUAUAUAAACAGAGGUAUUGACACUGGAAAUGUCAUCCUAGGAGCUGCUGCACUUCUGUCCAAUGCUGAGAGUGACAUGGACCAAACCCCACAUCCCACUGCUUCCACAGAGACCCUGCUGGGAAAGGGGAGUCACAAAAGGACCUGAGCCUGCAGGGAAGGGUCCAGGCCCCAACCUGUGGGCUUUGUACCCCGAGUACAACCGUGGCUGCUGUACCCCGAGUUUGGCACCGGAAUUUGGUGAGGGAGAGUGCGUGAGCAGAGCUGGGAAAGCCAAUUUACUGAGAGGGACCCCGGCUGCUCCUUGUAUCUGGCAAAACCUCCCGCAGCACCUCAGGGGAGACACAAGCUUGAAAUCUUAAUUAAAAAGCAGAAAGCAGGGUUUCAUGCAAGGCUGAUAUUGUGACUCUCUUCCCUUUAUGGACAAUUCUUAUGCAA
This 1337-nucleotide long non-coding RNA is filed under the name Junco hyemalis (dark-eyed junco). RNAcentral's name for it is "lncRNA (ENSJHYG00000003546.1)". Lineage: Eukaryota; Metazoa; Chordata; Aves; Passeriformes; Passerellidae. The record is from RNAcentral.